Molecule: long non-coding RNA, 781 nt
Organism: Cyprinus carpio carpio
Lineage: Eukaryota; Metazoa; Chordata; Actinopteri; Cypriniformes; Cyprinidae
Source: Ensembl
CAAUUUUGCCAAAAUGAAAGUUUGUGGAAUGGGCCACUUUAUGAUGUAAUAGUGUGGCUAAACUCUGCCUCCGCAGAGGCAGCGCCUGGUUCUACAUCACUGCCUGUUUAGCUCCGCCCAUCGAUUUUUGCACAUAGUGAGUAAAUGAUGAGAGCGGCAAAUAUUCAUUUACAAACAAGGCGCAUUUCGAUGCAGGAUUUUCAAAAAGAUUGAAACUAAGAGAGAUGCUGUGCUUAAUAUAUUGGAUCCGACUGUAAUGUCACACCACACAAGUAAAGGCCAUCGCUGCAGUAUCCAUCCAUCACUCCACACAUCUGUAGGUUGAGAUUUUUGGGUUGAUUUAUUUUAGAAAACAAGUCUCCCUCCAUCCUCCUGUUGUCUCACUUACUAAUGGCCGUAAAUACAUUACUUUAUCCUCGAAUAACAACUGUGCAACUCUUCUACAAAAGUCAGAUGGUACUUUGGUAUCAAUUAUGACACUCUGAAUAAUGACAUUGCAUUCUGUAGAGCUGCUUAUAUCUGAAUUGAUCUUGUUUUAUAAUUGAUGAUUUUAGCAACACUAUCGUACUAAACUGAAACAACAGUUAAUUAAGUAAAUUAAGUGUAAUAAUGACAUUAUUGGAGGUGCUUUACAGCUGAAAUUGAAUUUGUUUCAUAUUAAUACAUUUUAAAAUAGUAACACUUUUCAAAAAAAAAUUCUUGUUAUUUAUUUUUAGAAUCAGGGUUUUAAAUUUAAAAAAAUAUUUUAUUUCUUUUGGUAAAAAGGUUGCAAAAAUUACAA